RNAcentral lists this ribosomal RNA (163 nucleotides) under uncultured bacterium. RNAcentral's name for it is "partial 16S ribosomal RNA". It matches the Rfam family "Bacterial small subunit ribosomal RNA", at positions 1336 to 1500 of the family's 1533-position model. The record is from RNAcentral.
UAGUAAUGGCAGGUCAGCAUACUGCCGUGAAUACGUUCCCGGGCCUUGUACACACCGCCCGUCACACCAUGAGAGUUGGAGAUACCCGAAGCCUGUGAGCUAACAAACGAGGCAGCAGUCGAAGGUAGAAUCAAUGAUUGGGGUGAAGUCGUAACAAGGUAUC